Molecule: ribosomal RNA, 82 nt
Filed under: Paenibacillus taichungensis
Lineage: Bacteria; Bacillati; Bacillota; Bacilli; Caryophanales; Paenibacillaceae
Source: RNAcentral
UUUGGUGGCGAUGGCGGAGGGGUUCCACACGUACCCAUCCCGAACACGACCGUUAAGCCCUCUAGCGCCGAUGGUACUUGGA